GACGAACGCUGGCGGCGUGCUUAACACAUGCAAGUCGAACGAAGAGCGAUGGAAGCUUGCUUCUAUCAAUCUUAGUGGCGACCGGGUGAGUAACGCGUAAUCAACCUGCCCUUCAGAGGGGGACAACAGUUGGAAACGACUGCUAAUACCGCAUACGAUCUAAACUCGGCAUCGAGGAUAGAUGAAAGGUGGCCUCUACAUGUAAGCUAUCACUGAAGGAGGGGAUUGCGUCUGAUUAGCUAGUUGGAGGGGUAACGGCCCACCAAGGCGAUGAUCAGUAGCCGGUCUGAGAGGAUGAACGGCCACAUUGGGACUGAGACACGGCCCAGACUCCUACGGGAGGCAGCAGUGGGGAAUCUUCCGCAAUGGACGAAAGUCUGACGGAGCAACGCCGCGUGAGUGAUGACGGCCUUCGGGUUGUAAAGCUCGGUUAAUCGGGACGAAAGGCCUUCUUGCGAAUAGUGAGAAGGAUUGACGGUACCGGAAUAGAAAGCCACGGCUAACUACGUG
This 510-nucleotide ribosomal RNA is filed under the name uncultured bacterium. RNAcentral's name for it is "partial 16S ribosomal RNA". It matches the Rfam family "Bacterial small subunit ribosomal RNA", at positions 28 to 507 of the family's 1533-position model. The record is from RNAcentral.